RNAcentral lists this ribosomal RNA (860 nucleotides) under Flavomyces fulophazii. RNAcentral describes it as "eukaryotic LSU rRNA". It matches the Rfam family "Eukaryotic large subunit ribosomal RNA", at positions 71 to 949 of the family's 3401-position model. Lineage: Eukaryota; Fungi; Ascomycota; Dothideomycetes; Pleosporales; Periconiaceae. The record is from RNAcentral.
GGGAUUGCCCCAGUAACGGCGAGUGAAGCGGCAACAGCUCAAAUUUGAAAUCUGGCUCCCUCGGGGCCCGAGUUGUAAUUUGCAGAGGGUGCUUUGGCGUCGGCGGCGGUCUAAGUUCCUUGGAACAGGACAUCGCAGAGGGUGAGAAUCCCGUAUGUGGUCGCAUGCCUUCGCCGUGUAAAGCCCCUUCGACGAGUCGAGUUGUUUGGGAAUGCAGCUCUAAAUGGGAGGUAAAUUUCUUCUAAAGCUAAAUACCGGCCAGAGACCGAUAGCGCACAAGUAGAGUGAUCGAAAGAUGAAAAGCACUUUGGAAAGAGAGUCAAACAGCACGUGAAAUUGUUGAAAGGGAAGCGCUUGCAGCCAGACUUGCCUGUAGUUGCUCACCCGGGCUCCUGCCCGGGGCACUCUUCUGCAGGCAGGCCAGCAUCAGUUUGGGCGGUCGGAUAAAGGCCUCUGACACGUACUUCCUCUCGGGGAUGACAUAUAGGGGAGGCGCAAUGCGACCAGCCCGGACUGAGGUCCGCGCAUCUGCUAGGAUGCUGGCGUAAUGGCUGUAAGCGGCCCGUCUUGAAACACGGACCAAGGAGUCUAACAUCUAUGCGAGUGUUUGGGUGUCAAGCCCGGGCGCGCAAUGAAAGUGAACGGAGGUGGGAACCCCUCGGGGCGCACCAUCGACCGAUCCUGAUGUCUUCGGAUGGAUUUGAGUAAGAGCAUAGCUGUUGGGACCCGAAAGAUGGUGAACUAUGCUUGAAUAGGGUGAAGCCAGAGGAAACUCUGGUGGAGGCUCGCAGCGGUUCUGACGUGCAAAUCGAUCGUCAAAUUUGGGCAUAGGGGCGAAAGACUAAUCGAACUAUCUAGUA